GAGAAUUCCAAAGCAGUCAGUGCUACAUUGUAGCCACCAUGUUAAACGUGCUGCUCGGCUUGAAGUAACAAUGGAAGACAUUUUGUUUCACCUUGCAAUUCCUUUAUCGGGAGGCUGCCCAGAGGUGUUGCAACACGAAGUGUCUGCAGUACUCUGCUAGAGGGCAGCAUAGCGUGAAGAAAACACUCCGACCUGCAGUUUUCCGUUGCCCUGGAAACAGAUCAGCACAAAUGGGAAAUGGUACGCUGCAGAAUGAGGAGGCGCGUGGCCUGUGGACUACUGUACUUCACUGCCACCUUCUGUUCAAGAGCAGAAUUGACGAUUAUUCUUUCACAACUCUUUCACAUAGCCAACUUGCACGUUGUUGUGAUGUUGUAUUGGAAUGGGAUAAAAAAUAAUGCAAAGGUGUGUUUUAGGACCAUGCGGACGCAACCAAAGUUGCGCCCCUGGCUAAAUGUGAGAAUGAUAAAUUAUCAAAGGUAUGCAUUGAAAAAAAGUGAGUCAAUGUAAGGUUUUAUACGUCAUAUACACAGGCGACGUGCUUGUAAUAAUCCCCAUCAACCAAGACUACAUUUCACUUUCAUUUUCAGAAUUUUCGCGUUCAGUCAGCGAAGCUUUCUAGAUACGUUCUGAAACUAAC
Oncorhynchus gorbuscha (pink salmon) is the source of this 640-nucleotide long non-coding RNA. RefSeq lists it as uncharacterized. The transcript is spliced from 3 exons. The record is from RefSeq and is a predicted model, not a curated record. Lineage: Eukaryota; Metazoa; Chordata; Actinopteri; Salmoniformes; Salmonidae.